AUUGAACGCUGGCGGUAUGCCUUACACAUGCAAGUCGAACGGUAACAGGUUAAGCUGACGAGUGGCGAACGGGUGAGUAAUGUAUCGGAACGUGCCCAGUCGUGGGGGAUAACUGCUCGAAAGAGCAGCUAAUACCGCAUACGACCUGAGGGUGAAAGCGGGGGAUCGCAAGACCUCGCGCGAUUGGAGCGGCCGAUAUCAGAUUAGGUAGUUGGUGAGGUAAAGGCUCACCAAGCCGACGAUCUGUAGCUGGUCUGAGAGGACGACCAGCCACACUGGGACUGAGACACGGCCCAGACUCCUACGGGAGGCAGCAGUGGGGAAUUUUGGACAAUGGGCGCAAGCCUGAUCCAGCCAUGCCGCGUGCGGGAAGAAGGCCUUCGGGUUGUAAACCGCUUUUGUCAGGGAAGAAAAGGUUCUGGCUAAUACCUGGGACUCAUGACGGUACCUGAAGAAUAAGCACCGGCUAACUACGUG
This 477-nucleotide ribosomal RNA is filed under the name uncultured bacterium. RNAcentral's name for it is "partial 16S ribosomal RNA". It matches the Rfam family "Bacterial small subunit ribosomal RNA", at positions 30 to 507 of the family's 1533-position model. The record is from RNAcentral.